This 1324-nucleotide ribosomal RNA is filed under the name uncultured Alphaproteobacteria bacterium. Its description in RNAcentral is "bacterial SSU rRNA". It matches the Rfam family "Bacterial small subunit ribosomal RNA", at positions 29 to 1400 of the family's 1533-position model. The record is from RNAcentral. Lineage: Bacteria; Pseudomonadati; Pseudomonadota; Alphaproteobacteria.
ACGUACGCUGGCGGCACGCCUAACACAUGCAAGUCGAACGAAGUAGCAAUACUUAGUGGCAGACGGGUGAGUAACAUGUAGGUAUCUGCCCUUUGGCCUGGAAUAACACGAGGAAACUUGUGCUAAUACCGGAUAAGUCUUUACGGAGAAAGCUUUAUGCACCAUUGGAUGAGCCUGCACUUGAUUAGUUUGUUGGUGGGGUAAUGGCCUACCAAGACUGUGAUCAAUAGCUGAUUUGAGAGGAUGAUCAGCCACAUUGGGACUGAGACACGGCCCAAACUCCUACGGGAGGCAGCAGUGGGGAAUCUUGCACAAUGGAGGAAACUCUGAUGCAGCGAUGCCGCGUGAGUGAAGAAGGCCUUUGGGUUGUAAAGCUCUUUCGUCGGGGAAGAAAAUGACUGUACCCGAAUAAGAAGGUCCGGCUAACUUCGUGCCAGCAGCCGCGGUAAUACGAAGGGACCUAGCGUAGUUCGGAAUUACUGGGCUUAAAGAGUUCGUAGGUGGUUGAAAAAGUUAGUGGUGAAAUCCCAGAGCUUAACUCUGGAACUGCCAUUAAAACUUUUCAGCUAGAGUAUGAUAGAGGAAAGCAGAAUUUCUAGUGUAGAGGUGAAAUUCGUAGAUAUUAGAAAGAAUACCAAUUGCGAAGGCAGCUUUCUGGAUCAUUACUGACACUGAGGAACGAAAGCAUGGGUAGCGAAGAGGAUUAGAUACCCUCGUAGUCCAUGCCGUAAACGAUGUGUGUUAGACGUUGGAAAUUUAUUUUCAGUGUCGCAGCGAAAGCGAUAAACACACCGCCUGGGGAGUACGACCGCAAGGUUAAAACUCAAAUGAAUUGACGGGGACCCGCACAAGUAGUGGAGCAUGUGGUUUAAUUCGAAGAUACGCGCAGAACCUUACCAACACUUGACAUGUUCGUCGCGACUCUAAGAGAUUAGAGUUUUCGGUUCGGCCGGACGAAACACAGGUGCUGCAUGGCUGUCGUCAGCUCGUGUCGUGAGAUGUUGGGUUAAGUCCCGCAACGAGCGCAACCCUCACUUUUAGUUGCCAUCAUUAAGUUGGGCACUCUGAAAGAACUGCCAGUGAUAAGCUGGAGGAAGGUGGGGAUGACGUCAAGUCCUCAUGGCCCUUACGUGUUGGGCUACACACGUGCUACAAUGGUAUCUACAACAGGAAGCAAGACUGCAAAGUUGAGCAAAUCCCUAAAAGAUACCUCAGUUCGGAUUGCACUCUGCAACUCGAGUGCAUGAAGCUGGAAUUACUAGUAAUCGUGGAUCAGCGUGCCACGGUGAAUGCGUUCCCGGGUCUUGUACACACCGCCCGUCAA